Molecule: transfer RNA, 85 nt
Filed under: Paenactinomyces guangxiensis
Lineage: Bacteria; Bacillati; Bacillota; Bacilli; Caryophanales; Thermoactinomycetaceae
Description: tRNA-Tyr
Rfam family: tRNA
About the family: Transfer RNA (tRNA) molecules are approximately 80 nucleotides in length. Their secondary structure includes four short double-helical elements and three loops (D, anti-codon, and T loops).
Source: RNAcentral
GGAGGGAUACCAAAGUGGUUAAAUGGGGCGGACUGUAAAUCCGCUGGCUAUGCCUUCGUAGGUUCGAAUCCUACUCCCUCCACCA